Molecule: ribosomal RNA, 492 nt
Filed under: Vibrio sp. 4UM1,1 8
Lineage: Bacteria; Pseudomonadati; Pseudomonadota; Gammaproteobacteria; Vibrionales; Vibrionaceae
Description: bacterial SSU rRNA
Rfam family: Bacterial small subunit ribosomal RNA
Source: RNAcentral
AGCCUGAUGCAGCCAUGCCGCGUGUAUGAAGAAGGCCUUCGGGUUGUAAAGUAAGCGUGAGGAAGGCAUUACGUUAAUAGCGUUAGUGUUGACGUUAGCGACAGAAGAAGCACCGGCUAACUCCGUGCCAGCAGCCGCGGUAAUACGGAGGGUGCGAGCGUUAAUCGGAAUUACUGGGCGUAAAGCGCAUGCAGGUGGUUUGUUAAGUCAGAUGUGAAAGCCCGGGGCUCAACCUCGGAACCGCAUUUGAAACUGGCAGGCUAGAGUACUGUAGAGGGGGGUAGAAUUUCAGGUGUAGCGGUGAAAUGCGUAGAGAUCUGAAGGAAUACCAGUGGCGAAGGCGGCCCCCUGGACAGAUACUGACACUCAGAUGCGAAAGCGUGGGGAGCAAACAGGAUUAGAUACCCUGGUAGUCCACGCCGUAAACGAUGUCUACUUGGAGUUGUGGCCUUGAGCCGUGGCUUUCGGAGCUACGCGUAAGUAGCCGCCUGG